CCGGAACCAUAAAUCUUGCACUCCUUUCAGCAGAGGCACAGAGCCAUCAGGAAGAAAAACGCUGCCCCUACUUCAACCAGUUUGCUAACUGUUAAGACAGCCUCCUAGGGAGGAAGAAGAUGGCAUAAUGAACCUCCUCAGUCAAACUAAACUCAGGAGCACAGGAUCUUCCUUGCACUCCUCAAUACUUCGAGCAAACAGAGGGCUGAUGGGAAGAUUGACAACGUCAGGCAACUAGGGGUUUCCUGAGAGAUUUCUGUACAGAGAAGCUCAGACACAGCUGCUGAAAGACGAGGAUGAAGGUUCAGAUGAGCAGAGUAAGAAUGCAGCCAUGCAGAGAUUUCUGACCUGAAGUGGAAGUAGUAAACCUGAAAUCCCAACAGGGCUGUGGCCAAUCUCAUCAGAGAAAGAUCGCAGACAUCUCCAGACUUCCGUCAAGCUCUGCUCAGCCAAUGUACCAUGCUUGGACAAACAUGGUGCAGUUGCCAAUUGAUCUGUCAUAUUGUGGUUUUCAAAGAUGAACUGAGAAUGCUGUGAAAGGAGCUUGCUGUUGAAGAGCUGCCGAAAGACCUGGAGUAGGGACUUACAUUUUCAGCGUGGCUAACUUUCACUGACAUUGAAGAUGUCUCACUCAGAAGAUCAUCAAACCCAUGUUUUCUCUUCCUCUUCAGCAGACAAAGCUUCAUUCAUUUGAUGUGGAGAAGCUGAAGAAACUAAUUUUCUUCUUGAAAUAAGUGUGAAUUCUUUUUAUCUAGUGAUUUAACAACUCCUGACAAUGCUUACAUUUCACUUCAGAAAAAUUAGCUGUUUUCCUAAGUUCAGUCUUUCACUAAGUCUUUUAGUAUUCCCUUUCUCAACUCAGGCUAAUAUAGAAAGAAGUUAUGUAAUAGCUUCUUCAAAAUGACCUAUCAGUUGUACUAAUAAAAAAAAAACUUUCACAUUUACUACAAUUAGCAUUAAAAAAAAAAAAAACAAAUUUUUUGAAUCUAACACCGCAAAGAAUGAAAAUAAGAUGUGCUGAAUUCUUACUGAAUUAGAAGUCAAUUUAAAGCUCUCAGUGCAGUAUUUUUAAAAGUUUGUGAAGGAAAGACAUGAGGAAAAGGGUAAAUGAAGAUGGAUUAUAGAUGAUGGUGAUUUUACAGUGAAGACACGGAGAUCGUUUUUGGUCUAAAUAUCCACUACUUGUAAGUAGUAACAGCUUCUGCCCCCAACUGCAUGGUACUUCACAGACACACAGAAAGUCCUCCCAGCAUUUGCUUUAUACAAAUCAAAAUUCCUGUUUCCUUACUCAACUUUAUUUAAGUGUGUACUGGCAAGAAAUGUUCCUUUCACAUAAGAUGCCACUGAAAAGGAUGUUAGAAGCUCAACUCAUUUACCUUCAGAAAUAUCAAGAAUCUGAGCACAGGUAGUCUGAACAUAAAGAAUUCCAGUAAUAGAGAUCUGACAUCACCUCCUGACAACACCUUUCUGUGCUUCAUUAGUCCUACUUUUAGAAAACUCCAAACCUGAAUUUAUCUUUUUGCAUUUUAAAACUCAUUUCUUGUUCUGUUCGUGGUAACCUGGAGAAAAAAUAAUCCUUUUCUUUCUGAGGCAGCCCAGAAGACACACCUGAAGGCACGUUUCUUCUCAGACUUUUUUCCUGUAGACUAAACAACACCAGUUCUUCAAACUUUCCUCAGAAAUGUUUUAGGCCCUGAUCACUCUCACUGUUCUCCUUUGGAUUCACCAGAGUUAACCCACUUCCUUUGUGAAUUAUAAUGCUAAAUGCUAACUACAAUAACCUAGGUGAGACCUUAAUGAUGCUGAGUCCUCUUAUUUCCCAAGUUUUACAAGCUACAUUUCUGAUUUAGCAUUGAAAGUUGUCCUACUCUAUCCCCCUAACCCUCUUCUAAGGGACUAGCCAUUUAUUUCCUAUUCCAAGCUGUUAAAGCUGUCUAUUCCCACCUAAAUAUGAAAUUUCACCUUUCUCCAUUUCGAAUCUCAUCCAAUUGUCCAGAUUGCUUCUCCAACUGGCCAAGACCAUUUUGAAUUUGAAUUCUAUACUCUAACUUGUUGUUACCAGCCUACUGCCAUCUGUAGAUAGAAUAAACAUAUUCUGUAUUCCAUCCUCAACUCACAAAUGAAAAUACCAAGUAAUGCAUGACACAGGAGAGACACUUGUACAAAGCAGUUGAUUUAUCUUUCCUGUUUGACAGUGUUAAUUACUUUUGCUAUUUUGCAACUAUGUUGCUAACUACUGUUCAAGUAUGAUUUCCAAAUAAUGCUGCACUCAUCUUAAAAACAUGGUGUUCAUAUAGUCUCACUGCUUUGCUUAUAAGAAAUGUAGCAUUUAGCUAUGACAGGUAAAGAUUAUUGAAGACCUUGUUAAAGUCAAGAUAAUUAACAUCUAUUAUUUCUCUCCUAUUCCGAGCCCUACUUGCUCAAACCAGAAGGAAAACAAAUUAGUUUGACGUGGGCUGCUCUCAACAUAUCUGUUUUGUCUGUUAGCCAUUUCUUUUCUGUCUUCCAGAUGUUUACACAUAACCUAUGUGAUUAUUUGUUUAAUAUUUGGUCCAGUAUUUUAUUUUUUUUUUAGGAAUUAAAGUUAAAUUUACUAACAUUAAAUUGCCCUGCUCUUUCUUUUUAUCUCAUGAGUGCUAAAUUUGUCCUUUUUCAAUCUCUUACACUCUGAGUGAACAUCUCUGGGCUAUCAGAGAUGACUGCUGAAAGGUUC
Molecule: long non-coding RNA, 2713 nt
Filed under: Gallus gallus (chicken)
Lineage: Eukaryota; Metazoa; Chordata; Aves; Galliformes; Phasianidae
Description: lncRNA (ENSGALG00010007272.1)
Source: RNAcentral